RNAcentral lists this ribosomal RNA (253 nucleotides) under uncultured bacterium. RNAcentral describes it as "partial 16S ribosomal RNA". It matches the Rfam family "Bacterial small subunit ribosomal RNA", at positions 524 to 776 of the family's 1533-position model. The record is from RNAcentral.
UACGUAGGGAGCAAGCGUUGUUCGGAUUUAUUGGGCGUAAAGGGUGCGUAGGCGGCAAAUUAAGUCAGCUGUGAAAUCUCCGAGCUUAACUCGGAACGGUCAGCUGAUACUGAUCUGCUAGAGUGCGGAAGGGGCAAUCGGAAUUCUUGGUGUAGCGGUGAAAUGCGUAGAUAUCUGGAGGAACACCGGUGGCGAAGGCGGCAUCCUGGACCGAAAUUGACGCUGAUGCGCGAAGGCCAGGGGAGCAAACGGG